ACGAUCUCUGCGGAGUUAGUGGCGGACGGGUGAGUAACACGUGGGAACGUGCCUUUUGGUUCGGAAUAACUCAGGGAAACUUGUGCUAAUACCGAAUGUGCCCUUCGGGGGAAAGAUUUAUCGCCAUUAGAGCGGCCCGCGUCUGAUUAGCUAGUUGGUGAGGUAAAGGCUCACCAAGGCUACGAUCAGUAGCUGGUCUGAGAGGAUGACCAGCCACAUUGGGACUGAGACACGGCCCAAACUCCUACGGGAGGCAGCAGUGGGGAAUCUUGCGCAAUGGGCGAAAGCCUGACGCAGCCAUGCCGCGUGAAUGAUGAAGGUCUUAGGAUUGUAAAAUUCUUUCACCGGGGACGAUAAUGACGGUACCCGGAGAAGAAGCCCCGGCUAACUUCGUGCCAGCAGCCGCGGUAAUACGAAGGGGGCUAGCGUUGCUCGGAAUUACUGGGCGUAAAGGGAGCGUAGGCGGACAUUUAAGUCAGGGGUGAAAUCCCAGAGCUCAACUCUGGAACUGCCUUUGAUACUGGGUGUCUUGAGUGUGAGAGAGGUAUGUGGAACUCCGAGUGUAGAGGUGAAAUUCGUAGAUAUUCGGAAGAACACCAGUGGCGAAGGCGACAUACUGGCUCAUUACUGACGCUGAGGCUCGAAAGCGUGGGGAGCAAACAGGAUUAGAUACCCUGGUAGUCCACGCCGUAAACGAUGAUUGCUAGUUGUCGGCGGAGAUUACUUUCUCGGUGACGCAGCUAACGCAUUACAGCAAUCCCGCCUGGGGAGUACGGUACGCAAGAAUACAACUCAAAGGAUUUGACGGG
This 809-nucleotide ribosomal RNA is filed under the name uncultured bacterium. RNAcentral's name for it is "bacterial SSU rRNA". It matches the Rfam family "Bacterial small subunit ribosomal RNA", at positions 66 to 917 of the family's 1533-position model. The record is from RNAcentral.